UACGGAAGGCAGCAGUGGGGAAUAUUGCACAAUGGGCGCAAGCCUGAUGCAGCCAUGCCGCGUGUAUGAAGAAGGCCUUCGGGUUGUAAAGUACUUUCAGCGGGGAGGAAGGCGGUGGAGUUAAUAGCUUCACCGAUUGACGUUACCCGCAGAAGAAGCACCGGCUAACUCCGUGCCAGCAGCCGCGGUAAUACGGAGGGUGCAAGCGUUAAUCGGAAUUACUGGGCGUAAAGCGCACGCAGGCGGUCUGUCAAGUCGGAUGUGAAAUCCCCGGGCUUAACCUGGGAACUGCAUUCGAAACUGGCAGGCUAGAGUCUUGUAGAGGGGGUAGAAUUCCAGGUGUAGCGGUGAAAUGCGUAGAGAUCUGGAGGAAUACCGGUGGCGAAGGCGGCCCCUGGGACAAAGCUGACGCUCAGGGU
This 419-nucleotide ribosomal RNA is filed under the name uncultured bacterium. RNAcentral describes it as "bacterial SSU rRNA". It matches the Rfam family "Bacterial small subunit ribosomal RNA", at positions 340 to 752 of the family's 1533-position model. The record is from RNAcentral.